This 253-nucleotide ribosomal RNA is filed under the name uncultured bacterium. RNAcentral's name for it is "partial 16S ribosomal RNA". It matches the Rfam family "Bacterial small subunit ribosomal RNA", at positions 524 to 776 of the family's 1533-position model. The record is from RNAcentral.
UACGUAGGUCCCGAGCGUUGUCCGGAUUUACUGGGUGUAAAGGGCGUGUAGCCGGGCUGACAAGUCAGAUGUGAAAUCCGGGGGCUCAACCCCCGAACUGCAUUUGAAACUGUUGGUCUUGAGUAUCGGAGAGGCAGGCGGAAUUCCUAGUGUAGCGGUGAAAUGCGUAGAUAUUAGGAGGAACACCAGUGGCGAAGGCGGCCUGCUGGACGACAACUGACGGUGAGGCGCGAAAGCGUGGGGAGCAAACAGG